GACGAACGCUGGCGGCGUGCUUAACACAUGCAAGUCGAGCGGUAAGGCCCUUUCGGGGGUACACGAGCGGCGAACGGGUGAGUAACACGUGGGUGACCUGCCCUCAGCUCUGGGAUAAGCCCGGGAAACUGGGUCUAAUACUGGAUAUGACUCCACGGUGCAUGCCGUGGGGUGGAAAGCCUUGUGCGGCUGAGGAUGGGCCCGCGGCCUAUCAGCUUGUUGGUGGGGUGAUGGCCUACCAAGGCGACGACGGGUAGCCGGCCUGAGAGGGCGACCGGCCACACUGGGACUGAGACACGGCCCAGACUCCUACGGGAGGCAGCAGUGGGGAAUAUUGGACAAUGGGCGCAAGCCUGAUCCAGCGAUGCCGCGUGUGUGAAGAAGGCCUGGCGGGUUAGUAAA
Molecule: ribosomal RNA, 402 nt
Filed under: uncultured bacterium
Lineage: Bacteria
Description: bacterial SSU rRNA
Rfam family: Bacterial small subunit ribosomal RNA
Source: RNAcentral